Molecule: long non-coding RNA, 683 nt
Organism: Mauremys reevesii (Reeves's turtle)
Lineage: Eukaryota; Metazoa; Chordata; Testudines; Geoemydidae
Exons: 3
Source: RefSeq, a predicted model, not a curated record
AUGGGCCUGGAUUUUUUCUGAAGAAACAGAAAUGAUUUGGGAGGUUUUAUUUGGAGGGUUGAGAAGGGUCUAAAGCUGAAUGUUUUUCCAACCAAACCCCCAGAUUGGUUGGUUCUAAUCACUUUGUGACAUCAGGACCACCAAGGAGAUGAAACCUUAUCAGUGCAGACUUAUUUUAAGAUACUUUGUAGGAGAGGUGCUGCAUGAAUUAAAUGCUUGACUGAGACAAUAAAGUAGAUGGAAGAAAACAGCUCAGAAAGAAAGCGGAAACUCAACAGCAAAGACUCUACAAGGGACAUAAACAACUUCCUGAUGCUUACAGUGAUAAUUCAUCCUCCAGCAACAAGAGUGAGACUGAAAUCAGACACACUGCACAGAAAGGAAGGAGAGUCUUGCAGUUAGGAACUGAGAUUCAGGAGAUUUGGUUCUGUUGCCAUCUCUGCCACUGACAUCUUGUGUGAAGCUGAUUUACUCGCAGCUUGCCUGCGGACCUGCAGCUCAGUAUUUACUUGGAGGAUGCCUGCUUUCUUGGGCAGAAACAUUAGGAGUGUCGGAGGUUUGUUUUGGAUCCCGUAUACGUUGCAGAGGAAGGGUUUGUUCCGUCAGGUCCCUUCUGGGUGCAUUUGCUGCAUGGCAUACACAAGAACAGUCUCUGUUUGAAGUCAAUGAAAAUUCCAUUGGAA